CGGUGGGCGCAUGGCCCAGCCCAAAGGGUUUUUGUUACAGAUUUUUUAUAGCCAAAACUGGCAUGGGCCCGAGGAGGUGAAGUUAGCAGAUUAGGCCCAUAAUAGAUCUCUUGUUGUUGUUCAUAAGAACAACGGGCCACAUGGGGGGUGCAUAGCAGUGAAAUCAGGCCCAUGGUGAUUGUGAUAUUUUGUUCAGAUUUCAAUUAUUCACCCAAAAAAAGGUGUCAUGGGCUCGAUGGGGGUGCAGUUUCAGAUUAGCGAGCCCAAGAUAAUUGUGUUCAGAUCCAUUAGAUUAUCAUGUUUCUUUUUUUGAUCAAUUAAUCAGACUAAUCUAAUGUCUCAAUUUCAUUUAAACAAAUUAAUUCAAGUUUCAUAUAGUUAUAUUUAAUUAACAAAAAUAUUUCGAUUAAUCAAAUUAAAUAUGUAAAGGGGAAUUUAGGGUUCAGACGUGUGACUAUUCAACUUCCUCUCUCAUCUCUUAUUCUCUCAUGUUCAGAUUCAACUCGCCGGAGCGAUUUCCGGUGGCCUAACCCCGCCGUGGACCGCCAUCUAUGUCCUCUUAAUCAAUAAAACUCAAGCACCAACCCUAUCCUAUUUCUAAUCCUCACCACGAAUCUGGAUUCAGAUUUCCGAAAAUCAACUCCAUGAGGCGGGAUCGAAGAGUUCAACAUGCGAAGAUCUAAGUCUAAAGAAAUCGCAAAUUCAAACUAACAUGGGGCAAUCGUAACUCAGAGAAGACGAGAUGAUCUAUGGUAUACAUGAUUGAAGGAGAUAAAACGCAAACAGAACCUGGUUGGAGAUCGAUAGCGGAAGAACCGAAGGCCAGAGAUGGGAAUCCGGUGAGCACCUGUGCGAGAUAAACGCAGGGAGGCGAUGGAGCUCUUCAGGGCUAAUCAGUUAUGGUGAUAAUUAGGGGUUUCAUUUGGCUUUCUGAACUUUUUCCAAGCGUGAAUACAUAGGCUGCAAGUCUUCAUGAACCCUGUAUGGAAAUAGUAUUGGAUGAAUAUUGGGUUUGUUGGUUCAGCAGGGAUUGUCUCAUUGUUUCAAAUUUGGAAUUGACUUGCGGUUUCGCGAGACUGGUUUGAUUUUGCAGCAAGGAGUUUAGAGACUAGAGCUUGGUGAAAUUCUGUUGGCAUGUGUAUGAUAUGCUGAAUGUGUCUUAUUCUGUACUGGUUUUUUUUUGAAAGGAGCUUUUCAAAGUCUUAUGAAUGCUCCAGCCCCAAUGAGCUUAAUUGUAUUGUCAAGUUGAAGUGCAUAAUGAACAGCAUAGGUAUGAAUGUAGAUGAAGAUGUGGAAACCUUGGAGAAUGAAGGGAUCUUGCAGCUUGUUAUUUUUUCUUUUAAUUUGUAAAUGGAAUUUGUAAUGGGCUUUGUUCAAAUGAAAUGUAAUAAAAUUUGAAUUUCUUCUCUUCU
This is a long non-coding RNA of Vicia villosa (hairy vetch), 1412 nucleotides long. RefSeq lists it as uncharacterized. The transcript is spliced from 3 exons. NCBI's taxonomy places the organism in Eukaryota, Viridiplantae, Streptophyta, Magnoliopsida, Fabales, Fabaceae. The record is from RefSeq and is a predicted model, not a curated record.